This 438-nucleotide long non-coding RNA is filed under the name Androctonus crassicauda. Lineage: Eukaryota; Metazoa; Arthropoda; Arachnida; Scorpiones; Buthidae. The record is from RNAcentral.
UCUGUGGGGAACUUUUUUUAUCUACCAUAGGUCGUAUAGCUAGUGUUACCACCAUGACCGGCCACGCCUUAAGCUGGACGAUGUAACACUGCUAGUAGGAGAUGUAGAAGUUCCAGAAGCUGUACAGGAGGUCAUCCUUAAUGGCCCCAUGGCAGUCUUAGAACAGAACCCGAGUAUGAUGGACUUAGCGCCGCAGAUUGACCAUCUGUUAGAAGGAAUAGAAGAGUUAGACAAAGAGAAGAUAAGGUGGGAAGUUAUAUCUAAUGCCGUUACGAAUAAUAAGGCAAAACGUAGUAGGAAGACCAAGGCUGAGAUAAAAUUAGUACAUGAGUGGAUAGAGCACGAAGGUUUCAUAUGCACAAGAGAUGAUAAAUCUAAAAAGAUUGCCUUUAUCUAUAAAGAUCACUAUGUUAGACUCUUGAAGGAAUUUAUUAUGGA